UUGACCCUCGAAGGUCAACAUUAAACCGUCCUGGUAGAGAUUGGCUACACCGGCCCUGUUCGAAAAGAUGAAAUUACCAAAGAGCGAGCGAAAAGGAGACGGAAAGAAUCGAAGAACUUUUGAGAGAGUGAGAAAGAAGAUCCGAGAAAAAGAAAGAAGAGGAGAAAGAAAUGAGUUUGAAAAGGGUGAAGAAGCGAAAUGCUCAUAGACCG
Molecule: long non-coding RNA, 212 nt
Filed under: Gossypium raimondii (Peruvian cotton)
Lineage: Eukaryota; Viridiplantae; Streptophyta; Magnoliopsida; Malvales; Malvaceae
Description: long non-coding RNA (GRAI_LNC001479)
Source: RNAcentral